This 460-nucleotide ribosomal RNA is filed under the name uncultured bacterium. Its description in RNAcentral is "partial 16S ribosomal RNA". It matches the Rfam family "Bacterial small subunit ribosomal RNA", at positions 338 to 795 of the family's 1533-position model. The record is from RNAcentral.
CCUACGGGCGGCAGCAGUGAGGAAUAUUGGUCAAUGGACGAGAGUCUGAACCAGCCACGUAGCGUGAAGGAUGACUGCCCUAUGGAUUGUAAACUUCUUUUAUAUGGGAAUAAAUUGUUCUACGUGUGGGAUUUUGUAUGUACCAUAUCAUUCAGGCUCGGCUAACUCCGUGCAAGCAGCCGCGGUAAUACGGAGGAUCCGAGCGUUAUCCGGAUUUAUUGGGUUUAAAGGGUGCGUAGGUGGAUUGUUAAGUCAGUUGUGAAAGUUGGCGGCUCAACCGUAGAAUUGCAGUUGAAACUGGCAGGCUUGAGUGCAGUAGAGGUAAGCGGAAUUCGUGGUGUAGCGGUGAAAUGCUUAGAUAUCACGAAGAACUCCGAUGGCGAAGGCAGCUCACUGGACUGCAACUGACACUGAGGCUCGAAAGUGUGGGUAUCAAACAGGAUUAGAUACCCUUGUAGUC